GCUUUUUCAUAAAUUUUAACAUGUUUAAAUGUCUUUUUCUUUUUCUUCAUCUUUUUGAAACCCUGGUUUUGUAUUACCACUGACCAGUUCAGUAAAGAAACAGCUGCUUCAUGUUUGCAUAAAUGUGUUUGUAACCAAUCUAACAUGCUAUUAUUUCCUUAUUUUUUAUUCCGUGUCUAUAGAUAGUCUUGAUCGGGGACGCAAG
This 205-nucleotide long non-coding RNA is filed under the name Mytilus galloprovincialis (Mediterranean mussel). Lineage: Eukaryota; Metazoa; Mollusca; Bivalvia; Mytilida; Mytilidae. The record is from RNAcentral.